Molecule: long non-coding RNA, 261 nt
Organism: Mirounga angustirostris (Northern elephant seal)
Lineage: Eukaryota; Metazoa; Chordata; Mammalia; Carnivora; Phocidae
Exons: 3
Source: RefSeq, a predicted model, not a curated record
UGUUUUUGUUUUUAGAAAAAGAAAAAAAUAUAUGAAUCUGAAAAUGUUUACAAUCUGGCCUUUUACAGAAAAAGUUUGCCAGCCUCCACCUUAGGACAUCAGAGACCUCUUCUGGAUUCUUUGCAGCUUUGGAGAAGAAAAUAUCUCAAGAAAUGAAUGCCUGGAUAGGAAUGGCUGCCAAGCAAUGAUCUGAGCAGAUUUACAAGGGUUUUUAGAGCACAGAAGGCCGAAAGUGUUUUGUGGUGAGGGGUCCCCAACAGC